UGGGGAAUAUUGCACAAUGGGCGCAAGCCUGAUGCAGCCAUGCCGCGUGUAUGAAGAAGGCCUUCGGGUUGUAAAGUACUUUCAGUCGGGAGGAAGGUGGUAAGGUUAAUAACCUUAUCAAUUGACGUUACCGACAGAAGAAGCACCGGCUAACUCCGUGCCAGCAGCCGCGGUAAUACGGAGGGUGCAAGCGUUAAUCGGAAUUACUGGGCGUAAAGCGCACGCAGGCGGUUGAUUGAGUCAGAUGUGAAAUCCCCGGGCUUAACCCGGGAAUUGCAUCUGAUACUGGUCAGCUAGAGUCUUGUAGAGGGGGGUAGAAUUCCAUGUGUAGCGGUGAAAUGCGUAGAGAUGUGGAGGAAUACCGGUGGCGAAGGCGGCCACCUGGACAAAGACUGACGCUCAGGUGCGAAAGCGUGGGGAGCAAACAGG
RNAcentral lists this ribosomal RNA (429 nucleotides) under Chloroflexota bacterium. RNAcentral's name for it is "Chloroflexi bacterium partial 16S ribosomal RNA". It matches the Rfam family "Bacterial small subunit ribosomal RNA", at positions 355 to 776 of the family's 1533-position model. The record is from RNAcentral. Lineage: Bacteria; Bacillati; Chloroflexota.